AAGUGACGCAAUCUAUACGUCAGAGUGCGCGACUCAGUCGCCGUCCAAAACGUGCGACGCGCGGGACAGCCUCCCUCCGCUCGCUCAAGGGGAGCGCGGCGCGGCGUGGGGGCGGGUCAGAGGCGCUGCGCCUGCGCAGGACACAGCGCUUCGGCUGAGGGCGGGGGAGCAUUAACCUCCGCGCCUGCGCGCUGGGAGUCGCUCCCGAAGGUGGGAGAAAUGUGGCUUCCGGGCGCCGGGGAAAGAUCUAAGAGGGAAAAGCAGUUUGACUGGACAGUUUGACUCAAGGAAUGGUAUGCGUGCGUUGAGGACAUGCUCGUGUGGGUGCCGUCUUGGUGGACGACGUCAAGCUCUCAGCUCCGUGGCCCACAGUCCGCCUAAAGAAAUCUUCACAAGAACGUGGAGAUAGUUUGAAAAUCCUGAAACCCUGAAAUUCUCCCCGAAGUUUUGGAGGAGCUUCCUUUUGUUAGCGGUGUAAUGCUCAUAAAUAAAUUGGUACCUGGUGAUCAAGCUCCACUUUUAGUAAGAAAAGAUCUAUUUUACAUUAGAAAUAAAAUUCAGUCAAGAUCAGCCUUGGAGGAGAAUGUAGCUUCAAUGAUAACAGUAGGGAUUUUCCUUUAGUGUCUUACUUAUAUCAGGGGAUAAUAAUAAUAACAGUAGGUUUCUUAAACAAAAAUAUGAAAAAUGAAAGAUGGGGAGAAAAACCUUUCCGUAACAGUAAAUACUGCACUGUUUCAAGCUACUGAACCAGAGUCCUAAGGAGAAGGCUGGAGACCAAAAAUGUUAUAGUGGCUCUUAGGACACCUAUUUUACCCAAAAGACAAAGUUAAUCAGCAAAGGUUCUCUUGGAGAGGUUUCAGGAAAAAAUAAAAGAUCAAAUGUUCCUGCUCCCCUCCCUCCCCCUCCAUCUGCAGAAGAAAGAGAGUAAAAAGGCAAAUGCAGACUAUCACAAGGAGAUUUGCACCUGUACCUAAACUCACAUUAUAUACUUUUUAAUAUUUCUGGCUCAGAAAGCACUCUAAAGAUCUUUCUUUAUAAAUACCACAUUAAUUUGGAGGUUUGUUCUUGUGUUGCUACAAAGAUUUGGAAUGGCAUCUACAUUCUAAAUGUAGACAACAAGAAAGGAACAGGAUAAUAGGGGACUAAAAAAGACUUCCAGAUGAAACACAAGCUUCUAAUCCUCCGCUAAUAAGAUAGAAACUAAAGAAUAGUAAUUUUUAUGAAUUGUUACCUGAAGAACUUAAAAUACUAGUUCCUUUCUAAUCCCCAGUGUCUGGGCAAGAACUAAAAUUUUAAAAGUGAUAAAAGAGAGAUAUGAUAAUAGGAAAUGCAAUGAAAGAAAAAAAUUAAGCAGCCACAGCUGAAUGCAUAGUAUGGUUUAAAGACCAGUGUGGGAGUACAGACUAGGAGGAAGCAUGAGGAGGCCUGCUGGGAGCUGGAAGUUCUAUAUGGUACAAGUCAUGGUUACAUGGAUAUACACACAAUAUUCAUUGAGUUAUAUACUUAUGAUGUGUGCACUUUAGUGGUUAUAAAUUAUACCUCAAUCUAAAACAAGAGGUCAAUGUCACUGCAGGAGCCUCAAAAGCAAGAGAUAUUGGCAUUUUUGUUUCAGAAAUAUUCCAUCUGAUACAUGCUUGAAAUAGACCCUAAUAGACACUGUUUAGAAACAAUUAGAUGAAUAAACUGUAGCUAUUAGCUCCAAGACCACCAACAAAGGUCAAUCUGUUCUGAGCUUUUACAAAGUUACAAGAACCAAUAGUCAGUGCUUGUUUUGUGGAAAUUCCUAAUGCAACACUGAAACUACAAAUGGAGAGCGGCUCCUUGCUGGUAAUUCACAAUGAACAGAGAUUUUUUUUUUUUUUUUUAAUACCAAGAAUGUAAGGCAAUAGAUUAGAAGCCUAAUUCAAUUUA
This is a long non-coding RNA of Diceros bicornis minor, 1911 nucleotides long. RefSeq lists it as uncharacterized. The record is from RefSeq and is a predicted model, not a curated record. The transcript has 2 exons. NCBI's taxonomy places the organism in Eukaryota, Metazoa, Chordata, Mammalia, Perissodactyla, Rhinocerotidae.